This 1349-nucleotide long non-coding RNA is filed under the name Chinchilla lanigera (long-tailed chinchilla). RNAcentral's name for it is "lncRNA (ENSCLAG00000023095.1)". Lineage: Eukaryota; Metazoa; Chordata; Mammalia; Rodentia; Chinchillidae. The record is from RNAcentral.
AUGGACAUCUGCAGAAGAGCUCCUCUCUGCACCUUCUCCUGCCACCCCAGCUGUCACACCCUGAUCCUCUUGGAAUCCCUGCUCCCUGCCAUCUUCAGCCUCAGAGGAACCCCUAGGAAAUCAAGCCAAUUUCCCCAUGGCAGGUGUGGACCGACAGCUGCUGCCUCUGCUGCUGCUUCAGUGGUGUGGAAUUCAAAUCUCUGGUGGGUGUUUAGAGCCUGCAGAUGGAUUAGCUGAUGAUGCUUGUCCAUCAGCAAGCUUUGCAGUGUCCUGCUGAGCAGGGGUGGGGGCAGCUCCAAAACCAAGCUGUCUUGGAAGACCAAGUGAGCUUCCACACAUCACCUGGCCUCUGGGGUUAGCACUGUGCAGAGCUGGGCUACUCUAGGUUUCUAGAUGGAGCUUUUCAUUGUAUAAAAGUCAGCUUUCCUCAUCAUAGUUGGUACAGAAUGACCUGUUCUCUGCAAGGUCAUGCCACACAACAACCACCAGCAAAUAAAAACCCAAAACCUAGUGAUUCUACAUGGUGGUCUUUGAGAGUUGACCAUAGAUCUAGAGGGAGAAGCUCACUGGUGCUUCAGUGGGUGUCAGUGAACCAAACACAGGGGAUGCAGCUAAGAUAACAGAAGGAUAGGAGCAGAAAUUUCGGCUAAAAUUUUAUGGACACAAUCAGUCUGGCUUCCAGUGUAAUAUAGCAGUAGUAUAACCCCUACAUAGUACAGGGGACCCCGGAGAAACAGACAUUCUAUGAAAUGAGUGGGUGACUUGAUUACAGUAGUGGCUUAAUCUCAAAAGGAGUGGAUAGGUUGGCCAAUUCACUGCACUCACCAGGAGACCAUUGAAAAAGCCAUGGACCCAAGUGUGUCGCAAGAGUAGAGUACAAGCUUCUGGGCUCGUUAGAAUGUGAAGGUAGCAGGAGGGCUGUAGGGAGGACCAUGAAAUUCGGAAAGCUACAGGACUCUAAAAAGAUUCUUUUUCCUUAUGGUUCUCGGGAUUGAACCCAGGGCCUUGCACAUGAUAGGUAAGUGCUCUACCACUGAGCUACACCCCAGGCCUCAGUGUUUCAUAAUCUGUAAGAUGAAUAGGAGUAGGGUGGUCCAGCUCAGCAGAGGGCUUUUCUAGGAGCCACAUGAAGUAGCUGCAUUUCUGCUUCCAGGACUUCCCAGCAAAAUGGAAGCAGCUAUAUGGAGGAAGAUGAGGUUAAACUCCUAACUCUGAGAAUUUGGGCAGCAUUGGAAAGUAUCACCUGGAAGGGAGCAGAGUUCUCUCCAGAUUGUAAGGAAGUAUAGAUGAGUGUUUUUGAAGGCUUACAGGUAUGAAUGGGGUCAGCCUUAUUUCAAGGAUAAAUGAAC